UCAUUUGCACACUGGGAAAGUCACCAGUGCCCUGGCUGUCAUGGCAACAGCUGCCUUUGCUGAUUUCCCCUAACAUUAUUUCAGAGGAGCUUCAGUCAAAGCCGGGCUUGGAUCAGCUGCUACUCGGUUCCUUUGGGCUUGUACUGGGGUACUCUACACUGCUUUUCAAAGAAUCACAGGACCGGAAAGGACCUCAAGAUCAUCUGGUCCAGUCCCCUGCACUCAUGGCAGGACUACGUAUUAUCUAGACCAUCCCUAACAGGGUUUUUAACAGAUGCAGCGGUGUCUGCCUACAGAAAACCUGAAACAGCAUCUGUGAGGUUUGAAUUUCCCUGUUCAUCUCAUCCAGUCGAGCAGCCCAGAAUUUGGAGCAACCUUUGCACAACCUCACCUCACCUGCUGGAGGUGCUGCACACAAUCAAAUCUACUUGCUUUAACUGGAUCCUAAGAAAGACUCAAGAGAAGACUGCACCCCUUCUGGGUCCCCCAGGCUGGCUGAUUAUUUAAAAAAGGUGAAUUUGAGGGCA
Long non-coding RNA from Mauremys reevesii (Reeves's turtle), 527 nucleotides. RefSeq lists it as uncharacterized. The record is from RefSeq and is a predicted model, not a curated record. NCBI's taxonomy places the organism in Eukaryota, Metazoa, Chordata, Testudines, Geoemydidae. The transcript is spliced from 4 exons.